UCCGGUUUGACACCGGCAGUCUCCUUAGAGUGCCCAACUAAAUGAUGGCAACUAAGGAUAGGGGUUGCGCUCGUUGCGGGACUUAACCCAACAUCUCACGACACGAGCUGACGACAACCAUGCAGCACCUCUGCUGGCUUCCUUGCGGAUCAGUCCAUGUUUCCAAAGACUUACUACCAGUAGUUCAAGCCCAGGUAAGGUUCUUCGCGUUGCGUCGAAUUAAACCACAUGCUCCACCGCUUGUGCAGGCCCCCGUCAAUUCCUUUGAGUUUUAACCUUGCGGCCGUACUCCCCAGGCGGAUAACUUAAUGCGUUAGCUGCGCCGCCGAAGCUCUAAGAGCCCCGACAGCUAGUUAUCAUCGUUUACGGCAUGGACUAC
This 379-nucleotide unclassified non-coding RNA is filed under the name uncultured bacterium. RNAcentral's name for it is "contains 16S-23S intergenic spacer region". The record is from RNAcentral.